CCUACGGGAGGCAGCAGUGGGGAAUAUUGGACAAUGGGGGGAACCCUGAUCCAGCCAUGCCGCGUGUGUGAAGAAGGCCUUAUGGUUGUAAAGCACUUUAAGCGAGGAGGAGGCUACUGGGACUAAUACUCUUGGAUAGUGGACGUUACUCGCAGAAUAAGCACCGGCUAACUCUGUGCCAGCAGCCGCGGUAAU
This 195-nucleotide ribosomal RNA is filed under the name uncultured bacterium. Its description in RNAcentral is "partial 16S ribosomal RNA". It matches the Rfam family "Bacterial small subunit ribosomal RNA", at positions 338 to 524 of the family's 1533-position model. The record is from RNAcentral.